UACGUAGGUGGCAAGCGUUGUCCGGAUUUAUUGGGUUUAAAGGGUGCGUAGGCGGCCCGGUAAGUCAGUGGUGAAAGCCUCCAGCUCAACUGGAGAACUGCCAUUGAUACUGCCGGGCUUGAGUACAGACGAGGUUGGCGGAAUUGAUUGUGUAGCGGUGAAAUGCAUAGAUACAAUCAAGAACUCCGAUUGCGUAGGCAGCUAACUAGGCUGUAACUGACGCUGAGGCACGAAAGCGUGGGUAUCAAACAGG
RNAcentral lists this ribosomal RNA (253 nucleotides) under uncultured bacterium. RNAcentral's name for it is "partial 16S ribosomal RNA". It matches the Rfam family "Bacterial small subunit ribosomal RNA", at positions 524 to 776 of the family's 1533-position model. The record is from RNAcentral.